CCUACGGGUGGCAGCAGUGGGGAAUUUUGGACAGUGGGGGCAACCCUGAUCCAGCCAUGCCGCGUGUCUGAAGAAGGCCUUCGGGUUGUAAAGGACUUUUGUCCGGGAAGAAAAGCGCGAUGUUAAUACCAUUGCGUGCUGACGGUACCGGAAGAAUAAGCACCGGCUAACUACGUGCCAGCAGCCGCGGUAAUACGUAGGGUGCGAGCGUUAAUCGGAAUUACUGGGCGUAAAGCGGGCGCAGACGGUUACUUAAGCAGGAUGUGAAAUCCCCGGGCUCAACCUGGGAAUUGCGUUCUGAACUGGGUGGCUAGAGUGUGUCAGAGGGGGGUAGAAUUCCACGUGUAGCAGUGAAAUGCGUAGAGAUGUGGAGGAAUACCGAUGGCGAAGGCAGCCCCCUGGGAUGGCACUGACGUUCAUGCCCGAAAGCGUGGGUAGCAAACAGGAUUAGAUACCCGGGUAGUC
This 465-nucleotide ribosomal RNA is filed under the name uncultured bacterium. RNAcentral's name for it is "bacterial SSU rRNA". It matches the Rfam family "Bacterial small subunit ribosomal RNA", at positions 338 to 795 of the family's 1533-position model. The record is from RNAcentral.